UGCACACACUUGAUCUGGACUGCGCAUGUCUGUUGCCCGAAAUAUCCAACUUGCUGGAUACAUGUUUUGUCGCGGGACACACCUCAUAAGACAACCUAGCACAAUUUCCAAGGAUACAAUAGCAACACAAUGGCAAGCAAAGCUUGUCUCGAGAUUGUUCCCAGGUGUGAAUGCAUGGCAAAAUCAACUCGUUUGGUACCAGCCUAAGAUCAGAUCUCUCUUAAAAAUUCUGAUAUUUAUGCUCUCGUUUAAUGUCAUUUUUUAUCAUAGAAACCUAUGUAGUUAAUUUGCAAUAAACUAUCAUUAAAUUGUCAACAAUAUUUUGAUUAACCUCAUAUACAUCAAAAUUUAACCAU
This 356-nucleotide long non-coding RNA is filed under the name Androctonus crassicauda. The record is from RNAcentral. Lineage: Eukaryota; Metazoa; Arthropoda; Arachnida; Scorpiones; Buthidae.